Macaca mulatta (Rhesus monkey) is the source of this 9582-nucleotide non-coding RNA. The record is from RefSeq and is a predicted model, not a curated record. Lineage: Eukaryota; Metazoa; Chordata; Mammalia; Primates; Cercopithecidae.
GACAGAUGUGUACAGAGCGUGUGUGCACACCUCGGGGUGUAUGCUGUCGUUGGCAUGGACAGACGUGAGCGUGUACAGAGCGUGUGUGCACACCUGGGGGUGUGUGCUGGUGUUGAUAGGGACAGAUGUGUACAGAGCGUGUGUGCACACCUGGGGGUGUGUGCUUAUGAUGUUUUGUAACCGGCAAAUACGUGGCCUGUUGCAUCGGGCGGCCCUGCGCCCAUGCUGAGCCCGUCAGUGGCCCUCGGGUUGGGGUCUCCAUCUGCCCAGACAGCACUCGAGUGGCUUGAGGUUUCAGAUUCUUCCUCUACGGAUACUUGGGCUUCCUCAGGACCAAACAUCAGAACCAGCCAACUGCAAACUACAAGAACGUUCAAAUGCAUCUUCAGUAGGAAAAACAAAAGCAAUUGGAAAAAUUUUCCAACGUGACCCCGUGGUUAAGCCGUUAGAUACUCCAGCCAACAGAUUGAGUCACUUUAAAAUUCACACCAAUUAAAAUGGUUGUGAGAGUUGCAGAGCUUUACCGCUAAACCUUGAAAUAAUUGAAGCAUUCUGCUCCACUUGCUUACAAACUAGAGUUGGGGAUACCUUUCAGUCCAAAGUAGCAACCUUCUAAAUCCAGCUUAGAUGCGAGGCUCCCACUGACACAGGAAGAGACAGUGGCCCUUGAUUAUUCUCCUGUGUUCAGAUACUGUGUCAUUUCUUUUUUUUUUUUUUUUUUUUUUUGUAUCCUGAUCAUCACUUCUGCUUUUCCAAUUCAAACUAAAGGGAGUUUAGUUCUGUUUUGGAGAAGCUGUGGUUAGUAGUUUCUUUUCAUGGUUUGCUUAAUCUCUUAAGUCUGGUGCUUACAUUACCCAAAUAGACUUUUCUUUAGUACGACAGUGCCAUAACCCAGGGCUUCUCCCUCCAUAUCUGCUCCCCAGGAGGCUCCCUAGGAAUGGGCGCUGGAGAUCCAGCCCCUCUCCAUGUGCCAUUUUCUUUGAGUCCAAGGUAGGUUUGGCUCAGAGAAGAAAAGAGGCCUCCGGGUUAGGUGCCUCUGACUGCUUGCUUGUGAAAUGUUUAAUGAUAAGGCGACUUCCAAACUAAUUUACACAUUGAUAGUUGUAGCUUGAAGUAUCACCGCAGUCAUAAGAACAAGAAACACUCCCAUAAAGUAGAUAAGCAGAAAAAAGCCAUAGAAGUUUAAUAAAGCGCAAAUAAAAUGGUGUUGUAAGAAUGUCCAGUGGGAAAUGCUCUCAGUCCAGCCAGAUCCAGCUGUGGCGUCAGUCCAGCUGUGGUGUCCUCCUGUAAAAACAUUCAGCCACAUGUGGCCCUGAUCGCAAUCACUACUCUGAAUUGUGAUCCAGAAUGUUCUUGGGGGCCGAUGCUGGGACUGUUCCAGCAGUUCAAUCUGAUUGGGCGUCACGGUGGUGAUGUGCUUAGCGCGGCCAGCUGGGCUGAGUGGUGGCCACCCGUGCACUCGCCACGUGCAGCCGCCGUUAUUCUGGUGAUGGGGUUGCAUGCGCCCGGCUUGUCCACCUGGGCUAUUAAAGUACUGGGAACCCAACCGCGGGCGGUGCCUCCCGAUAUGGGAGCUGUCUUUUUUAUCCAGGGCCCUCUGGCGCUGCAGAACCCUGCUGCCAGUCUGAGCUCACAAGGAGGUACCGGAGGGCUCUGCUGGGGCAUGGAGGUCCCUGAGCAGGUGGUCACUUAUUGCUUGUGGAGUGGUCCAUGGCCUGUGAGUUUAUUCUCGGGGUUUGUGUGGGCGAGGUUAACCAGUUCACAGCUGGGCACUUACCCCUUACACAGGUGACACUAGUUAAAGUGGAAUCUAUAUUAGCUCACACGGGAGUGUGUGAGGAGCUGGGAGGGUGGGGAGGCUUGGCCUUAGCACUAGAUUCCCGGGCUCCUGACAUUUCUGCGUCUUCCAGUUGAGGGGCCGUCAGAGCCGCUGUGGGUCCUGAAGACAGUGGGUGCCAUAUGGACCAGGGGAUGCAGAAGCCUCUAGAGGCUGCGGGAGGCAAGGAGACGGUCGCUUCCCCAGAGCCAGCCCUGCCGCCACUUCGACGUUAGAUGGUGGGACCUGUUUUGGACUCCAGCUUCCAGAAAUGUGAGAAAAUAAGUCAGAGUUUAGGGCGCUAAAUUUGGGGUGAUUUAGUGGAGAAAUAGAAAACUAGCCCACAAAUGUGCACGCAUUGAAAUGUGCUCUGUCCAGGUGUUCACAGUGGUGUGAGGGAGAUGGCAUCAGGGUUCUGGGAACUGUGCAGUUUUACUGAAGGAAGGGGGCUCGCCACGCCUUUCCUCAUAUAACUGAAGUGCCCAGGAGGCUGAUGCCACAUAGAAGACCUGCAGGUCGAUGGAUGUGAAACAGGCAACGGACACGCUGUGCACCUUGGGACGCAUCUGAGAAGUACGUGCUUGCAGCAGGUCUGAGAUUCUGUGGCCAAAAACUUACCCGUGGACAUUGAGGGUGAUGCACUUCUGCUCCAAGACGUCUGUGGACUCAGCUAGAGGGAUGGAAAGGAUAUGGAGCCUCUUCACUCUUGGCCUGGGCCUGGACCUGCUGUGUAGCCUCUCAGUGGCACCAGGGCCCCCUUGUGUCACAGCAGUCUCAGGUUGGUGGCACUGCCCCAGGAUGUCCCAGGCUUCAUGAUGUCCAGGCUCCUCUGGCAUGGCGGCCUCAGAUUUCUUUGCAUCGUCUCCCUUAUCCAGAAGUGAGGGUGAACGCUGAGUUAUUCACGGGAGUCAAGAAACCACACGCAGCCCAAAGAGACGUUUGUUUCCCUGGAAUGAUUUGUGUGUGUUCACCUUAAAAUGCAACUCAGUAAAACAGCUGAAUUCAAGAAAGGGAAACAAGCAGACAGAGUAAGUACCAGAAAGCGUCUAAGUUGUUGGGUGGGGGAUCCUACUAUGGUGUUGGAUUGUGUUCUGCCAGACAUCACUCCUCAAAAAGUUGACCCUGAAAGGGCUGGCAUUGCCCUCACCCUGCGACAUUCGUCUAUCUCACCAGAGAAUGAAGAAUCUGCCAGAGUACUGUGAGUCAAAUUCAGUCAGAACUCGAUUAAAUAAGAGGCUUUGUCUCAAAGGCCAAAACAUGAGGACACAUUUAAAUUUUAUUUAUUUUUAUUUUUUUAUUUUUUUUUUUUUUGAGAUGGAGUCUCGCUCUGUCGCCCAGGCUGGAGUGCAGUGGCGUGAUCUUGGCUCACUGCAAACUCUGCCUCUCAGCUUCACUCCUCUCUUCUGCCUCAGCCUCCCGAGUAGCUGGGACUACAGGUGCCCGCUACCACGCCUGGCUAAUUUUUUGUAUUUUUGGUAGAGACGGGGGUUUCACCGUGUUAGCCGGGAUGGUCUCGAUCGCCUGACCUUGUGAUCCGCCUGCCUCCUCCUCCCAAAGUGCUGGGAUUACAAGCGUGAGCCGCCGCACCCGGCCGAAAACAUGUUUCUUUACUGCCUCAGUCCUCAGUUGGGUAGUAUGUUCUUUGUCUUGAAAGGCGCGCUCUGCGAGAUGGGAAUCUUCCGGUUGCUUACUUAGGGAAUCCUGCCGGCUGUCAUUGACUGGAGAGCGCAGUUUCCUGGCUGCCCUGGUCUUUGAGGGGAGGGAGACUGAGGGGUCAUUUUCCUACCUGGACCAACAUGUUUAUUAAACCUGGCUUGUGGAUCCUUUGGAUCUUUUUAUGAAGGAAAAGCCACUUCUGUGACUUUCAGAUGAGUGGAAGUCAUGUUAACAGAAAUAAAUAAAUAAAUAAAUAAAUAAAUAAAUAAAUUUUGGCUACUAUGGAGAAGUUUUGUCCUUGUGACCUGUGAAUACAGUCACGGGAGAGCAGAAUGUUCACGGUGUGGGUGCUUACAGUGUACAUGUAGAGUCACAUUCUUCACUAGUAUUACAUUAAAAAGUGACAAAUAAGAGAAAAAUAUUUUGCUCAUUACAACCUCGGUAAGAAGCUGGCAGUACUCUUGUUUUUGGAAGGGUGUGAAGGGAAUAUUGAGAAAGUAUCAUCAACGUUAGACUCACCCACUCUGCAAAUCCUGGGCCGGCUCGCGUGAAGACCCCGUGAUGGAAAGAUGCACCCUUCUGCCCGGAAGGAGGUGAAUCUUUGUAGCACUCAGGAUGCAUGGUUCAUCUCUAUAUAAAGGCAGAGUGUGAAACGCCAUGGAGGCUGGGAGAAGAGAUGUAGUUAGCAAGUAUGAGUGAGAAGUUUGGGGCUUGUUAGCACCUGGCGUGUGUGCAGCAAGCUUUGCUAUCUGCACACGUGUGAUCCUUAGAACCCUGGCGUGUGGAGCCAUGAGGCUGUCGAGGGCCCCAGCUCCCAGCAGGCUGAGGAGUUCCCUGUUACCACCAGGAGAACCGUGAUUGAAGGCUGUCACUCAAUCCCAAGUCCCGGAAGGGGCUCCUUUCAGAGAGGAAAACACCCCUAGAGCCUCGGACAGAAUUCAGUGAUUUUUCUUAUGAUGUUGCUUAGAUUUCGCAAACAUGAAACCAAGAACAUAUUUCAGAAUGCUUAUGGUUCUUUUGUAACCAUGGAAACAAAGUAAUUUGCAGUCCAUGGACAGUUUGCAGAAGCUGAACUGCCUACAGCAUGAGCACAGCGCUCUCCCUACCGCCCUGGGCCUUGCUCCGGUUUGCUGGGGAGGCUUUGCAGAGCCUUUUGGCUGGGAUACCUCUCCCAUGUCCCAUGUUGCUACCCCUGGUCACAGCCAUACUACUGGGCACCUGUGCCGUGAGGACACUGAGUGGACACGGGGCCGCGGGGCAGCAGUUGGUCAUGAGGUGGCAUCCACAUGGUCCGAAACAGGUUUCUGUUCAUUAAGAAUGAUCGUUGCAAUAAAAACAUAGAGUGAAAGAAAACCCUCUACUGACCUGAGAAUGCGUCAGCUGAGUUGGAUGGGGAAGUGCAGUGAGGAAGGUGAGGACUGAAAGGAAAUGAAGGAGGGAGAGGAAAGGAGAGAAGGGAAGUGAAAGUGGGAGGGAGGAUGGGAGUGAAGAGGGAGAUGGAGGAGGAGGAAGAAGAGAGAGGGCGGUGGGCAGGAGCCUGGGAAAUGAGUCCCAGAGUCGGUUCCUGACCGUCAUGGGUGCGUCAGAGCUGGUCUUCCAGGAGAGGUGGCCUGGGAGGGCUGACCCUUAGGAAGUUAGGGCUGGGGGGAGCUGAUUUUUUGGCCCUCAGCGGGGCUGUUGCUGACCUGAGAUGCAGUCGAUGGUUAUCCCGAAGAGGUCGUCUGCACAGCCACCGUUUGCUGCCAGGUUGGAGAGAGAAGUGCUCCCCAUGGGUUCUUUCUAUUUUGUGGAGUUUUCCCAGUUUAGCUGAGCAGCCUGUCAGUGGAACUGUCAGUGAUUACUAACAUGUCUGCAUUCUAUAGAGCAGUCGGCCAGCUUCCGAUCCUGUAGUUGUUAGGGACACCACUCCCAUCGUGUCAGUGCUGGCCUAGCAUGGAAGCCACAGCCGGAGGCACUGGGAAACCUGCGUGGCUCUUGCUGCGGGGGUUCUGAUGGGAGUCGUGCGCUGGAAGAAUGAUGUCCUUUAGGCAGAGCCUGGCGAGGAGGGGGUGCUGCUGUUGCAGCAGUACAUGGAAUUUCAAACGACGAACGAAACAAGCUUUUAAUUAUGACCAGAGUUCUAUGCCCUGCUUUUCUUCAAAUGGAAAUGUUGUGCUGAAAUGAAUUUGCUGUUAAUCGGUUGCCUCAUGCAAGACGGAAUGCUGGGAGCAAAGUAGAAUGUGGACUUCUCUACGAAGCUUCCUCCUCUCAGACUAUAAUCAGCUGGAUGGUGCUACACAGGAAUAUGUGAGAAUUCGUCUGAGAAAGGCGAUGGGUGCAGACCUGUGUGACCGGCAGGUGUUGGGGGAGGUUUGAGAGAAGCUUUUGGCUGAAGUGGUGUCAGGUGCAGGUGCUGAAGCGUGAUGUCUGGCUGGAUGGAAGAGCACACGCCUCUGGGCUGGGGGAAACAGAUAAAGGAGGAGGUGGGCAGACAUGAGUCGUGUCUUAGGAAUGGUAGCAAUUCAGGCAGAUUCAGGAUCAGGCUCCCACGGGGGAGGAGUGGACAUCAGGACCCAGGGAGCGUGGGGCGGGGGUCAUGCCCAGGCCUCUGCGGAGCUUGCUGCUGUGUCAGCAGGGCCCUGUGCUUGCCCUCCUUAAAGCUUUCCCGAUCCAUAAAACGGGCACAACAAAAUCCACCUUGUGACAUUGAAGCUUAAAUGAGAUGAUCUACAUGGUGUCUUCCUUCCCUUCCUGACACAUCCUAGACUCACAGCUAUGGUAGCAGCGACAGACUGGAUGGAAUGCUGGAGCCGCUUUGCGCCUGGUGAAGCCACAUGGACUUGUGCAGUGCUGGCGACUGUCUCUGAAAACCUUUAAUCAUGGCAGUGGCAGCCUCGAGUGGCUCUUGGCAUACUUCAGUCUGUGGAGUGCAAGGUUGACUGGAUCUCCGUGGCCAUUGAUACUAUUCAGGGGUGAGCUGAUGGGGCCCUAAAACAUGGGGGAAGGCCGAGAGGACUUGGCGGCCAGAAGCAUUGUAGAUUUCUGGCUUCGAGAACUUGCUGACUUAUGGACAUAGGAAGGUAAACCCAGAUGGCUCCAAAAUUGUAAGUCCACAAGAAAGGUGGGAGGGUACAAUUGCUGAGUAGGUCAUGGUUGCCCUGUCCCUUUCUUUCUGGCCAUCGUUUCUGCUCCCUCCCCCUGCCUUUGUGGGCUGGAGGGCCUGAGCCUGCACAGUGGUCUCUUUCAUGGUGACGAUGGCUGAUUAUUACCCUGCACUAAGAAGUCUCUCCACUUUAUUUUGCAGCAGUAGGUAAAUACAUUUAAGGAGUGAUGGUUUAGUGGUAUUUGUUUUGUUUUUGCUUUUUGUUUUUUAAAGUAUCAUUUAACUGAAUGUUAUUGCCAAUUUCACUGAUCACUUUGAGAUGCCAAAACAUGCUUUGAUUUGUUAUUUUUUGUUUCAGCUAGUUUAUUGUGUCACAGGAAUGCCAAUUAUUCUGUUGUCACACAUCAUUAAGUAUCUCAAAUUGUGUUACUAUAAUACUUAGCUGAAUUACCUCCCUUAUUUUGACUUUUAAAAAACUAAAAUCUGUGUGAAACACACAGGAUGGUGCAUGUCCAUUGAGGGUUGUUGAGAAGUGUGACUUUUCCUGACAUGCUUGAGAAUCAGUGACAUUAUUUUAUAGAAACACGUUGUAACUGACUCCAAAACUAGAAGCUCCUGUAAAGGGCAGGGUAGGCAACGUGUUAUGUUUUGUGUGUCACAGAAGUCUCUGCAUAUAUUUCUUUUGUUAAAACUUCAAAGUGUAAAAACCACUUCUGGUUCCCUGGCCAAGGCUCAGUCGGGGAUCAUGGUUUGCAGACCCUUGACAGCAGCUGAGCUGAAAGCUGAUCUCCCAUGCGGUGAGCAGGAGCCCACCUCAUUGCUUCAGCCAGGAAGAUGCUGCCCUCAUGCUGGAAUUUACUUCAAACAAACUUGAAAGCUCUGGCACCGCUGCUCAUUUCCAUACUGUUGCAGGCUAUCUAAAAUACGGAGCAUGCCUUGGCGUUUUGAUUUUGUUACUCCUCUUGAACGGCUCUGAGAUGGCUCAUCACAAGUUAGACACUUGCAGAAAUGAUCAAGCAGAGCUGCAGUCAUCUUGCAGAUCAAGUGAAGAUUUUUCUGAAAGCUUGUUACAGGCUUAAAUUUCUGAUCCCGUUCCAUCCACUGAUCUUGUAUGAUUGGUUUCUUUUUGCACCCAUUUGGGCUGUGAAGCGUCUCCCCACCGUGGUAGAACUUUAGCUCUGAUUUCAUGCAUAAGCCGGUAUCCUCACUCCUCUUCUGCGAGGAGAAAGCGCUGCAGGUCCUGCGUGGUUUCCGUCCCCUCCCUGCACGCGGAUGGAUUGGGAGGUAUUUGUGGUGUGUGAACUUGUUACCCCUAGAGGCUCCUUGUUCACUCCCCUGGAUCAUACUCCUCCCUACUCCCAUAGACUGUACUCCUCCCUCGUGGUUCAUUCCCCGGACCUCAUUCCUCCCUCCUCCUUCCUGUCUCACUCCCCUGGACCACACACCUCCCUCCUGGUUCACUGCCCUGGGCCCCCACGCCUCCCUCCUGGUUCACUGCCCUGGGCCCCCACGCCUCCCUCCUGGUUCACUGCCUUGGGCCCCCACACCUCCCUACUCUCCUGAGCCGCAUUCCUCCUUCCUGGUUCACUCCCCUGGGUCCCCACUCCUCCCUCUUUUGGGGGCUUGGUAGUUUCUGCUGUGCUUGUGCCAGCACGAUAAGGCUGAGUGGCAGCUCCAGGGCUGUGGCUGCUCACGCAACUGUGGCAUUAGUGCAGAGAACUGCGGGGAUGCAGCUGCCCUUGCUGUGAUGCUUCGAGUGUCAUAGUCGAUAUGGGAAACUGGGUGGGAUGUGGAUGUCCCAGGAAGGGACAGGAGCCUCCACUCAGCCUCUGUCAAACACUUCUCAGCCAGGCGUGGUGGCUCAUGCCUGUAAUCCCAGCGCUUUGGGAGGCCGGGGCGGGCGGAUCACCUGAGAUCAGGAGUUGGAGACCAGCUUGGCCAAUGUGGUAAUUUUUGACGCAUUAAGGAUUAAGGAAAAAGACUCACACUCGUUUGCCUUGCUUUAUAAUUGACGAUUGGUGUAGCCCAGUAGUGUGAACUUGUUAAGCAACCAUUCUUACCGCAAGACUAAUCUUUAAAACUCUCUUCCUCUGGACACGUCUUUGGCUGCUGUAAUCAAAUGCAAUAUAAUCAGCACUGGUUAAUGGCUUUCCUUGCUGGGCUAACAAAUGCUCCUCAGAAACGUUGGUUUCUUGUUAUUUUCAUUUAUAAGUAUGUUUUAAGCCCUCUAAUUUUUCUAGCUUUCCUGCGAGUUGGGAAUAACUGUGAUGGGUGCUUAGUUUGGGAUGUUGACGUACACUCUAUGCCCAGCUACUAUGCCAUUGUGUGAACACUGAUUUGUCACUUUCUCAUGAAGACUGAUUUCACCUAGUUUGGUAAAUUCUAUUAAUUUUAAGGAAGGGGGUGGAAUGCAACUGCUGUUAGGAGGCUUUUUUAAGGAUCAAGGAAAUGUUGCCAUGAUUAUUACCAUUACAGAAGGAACAUAAAAACACGUGCUGCCUUCAGUCAUGAUGAAUAUGUAAGUCCGCAUCUGUGACUGCAGAACACGGCAGCCCUAAAUCUUAAAAUCGUGUGGAUGCACCAAGCCCAUCUGCAGGGCACUGUGGAGCAGCCUGCGUUAGCCGAAGUUGGCCCACAAGCCCUGAGGGAUGGUGUCUGAGUUAUGAUAAGGCUCUGACUUGGGAUUAAACAGGCCUCCAAAUACUGUGAUAUUCUAAACAAAGACACGAUACUGCCCAGGGAGCCCAGUGGACACCUGUAGGCAGUGUAGGUGAGAAAAGGCUCCAAGGAAGAUUCCUGCAGCUCAGCUAGGAGGAUUCUGUGUCAGUAGACACAUCAAUGUUCACAUAGGAGUGUUGAGCUAUAUUCAUUCCUUUUAAGCAGCCAGGCUUGUGUGUGUUUUCAGGGGCACUCACAUGGCGCCCCUUCCACCCUCACUGCUGGUCAGGUGAGGUGUUCAAGACUAGCCUGACCAACAAGGUGAAAUCCCAUCUGUACUUAAAAAUAUAAAAAAUUAGUCGGGCGUGGU